UGAAGACAUGGUGAAUACAUGGAGUUAAAACUCCCUUUUUGGACCUAAGUUAAACUUUACUUUCCCAAUUGAGCUAAUUCUUCCAGACCAAAGCAGGUUUAUUGACUUGUCAAUUUGCUUAUGCAAUUCAUCCAUUUUGUUAAUCAAUCAGUCAAAGGCUGACAAGCAAACUGGGCUUGAUGGCCAGUGCUUAUAAUCCCUGUACUUGGCAGAUAGAGCCAGGAAGAUUAGGAGUUCAUGCCUAGAUUUUGCUGCAUAGUGAGUUCAAGGCCAGCCUGGGUUCCAAGAAACCCUAUCUGGACAACUAAACAAAAACAAACAUCAGCAACAGAAAAACCAGGUAGACAAAAACCACAUACUAAAAACUGAAAAACAAAAUAUUUACUAUGUAACAAUAUUCUACAUGAUAGUACAACAAGAUUUUUUAAAAACUGACUAAACUUCUUUCUGGUUUUAGAGAAGUUACAGUUAACGAUUGUGAUAGGAAGAUCAUUACUGAAGCAUUCUGCAUUAACUUGAGUGUGAAUAAAGUAUGCAUCACCUUAGAUGCUAUUAGCCAGAUAAAGCUUCUCAAAGUAAAGGAUUCCCUCCUGACAGUUGUGUUUAGAUUGAACCAUGUACUGCCUAGGCAGUAGAGUCAGACAUGGAAGACGUAUUUAGGUAUUAGCAGCUAGAGACCAUUUCAGCUACUGCAAAAGGAAUGCAUAAGAGAUUCUCAAGAGGUCAGCAUAAGGCACUCAUUUUUCAAAAAGAUCCUUACGGAUGGAAAUAGAAGACAUGGAAAGAAUGGAUAAACAUGGAUAAUUGCUUACUAAAGUCUCAUAAAACUUAUGUUUGCCAAUGAGCAAAUUUAGUGUUUAGAAUUAGUUGUCAUUUAAAUGGAGGCCAAGGAGAGCUAUUUCCUAGUACUAAUUAGAGAGUUAUAUUGCUAUGGAUUCUUACAGCACAAUUCUACAUACAGGCAUUUUGAUGUUUGCCAAGUAACCACUUUUCUAUUUGGAAGAACGUCUGAGUCUUUCCAGUGAGAGGGCCUCAUUUGAAGAUCAGCAUCUUUAAAAUUGUCCCUCUCCAUCUCACUGUCCCUUCAAUGUCUGGAGUCAGUCAGUGGUAGAACAAGGUAACGGCAAUUAGAGACACUUUCAAGAAAUGUUUUAAAUUAGACAGUGUGCUU
Molecule: long non-coding RNA, 1171 nt
Filed under: Mus spicilegus (steppe mouse)
Lineage: Eukaryota; Metazoa; Chordata; Mammalia; Rodentia; Muridae
Description: lncRNA (ENSMSIG00000003628.1)
Source: RNAcentral